Octopus sinensis (East Asian common octopus) is the source of this 625-nucleotide long non-coding RNA. RefSeq lists it as uncharacterized. The record is from RefSeq and is a predicted model, not a curated record. The transcript has 3 exons. NCBI's taxonomy places the organism in Eukaryota, Metazoa, Mollusca, Cephalopoda, Octopoda, Octopodidae.
UUCAUGUUGUUGUUGUCAUUAUUAUUAUUGCCAUCCUUGUCAACUUCAUCAUCAUUUUAGGAAAGGGUGAGUGGAAGAUUUGGCAGAAUUGCAGGGAAAAAUACCUUACUGAUUUGGUUAUAACCUCUUUAAAUUUUGAACUCAAAUCCUGUUUUUCAUCCCUCCAGAGUUAAUAAAAUAUAUACCAAUCAAAUACUUAGGUCGGUGUUAUCAACUGUAUAUCCUCCUUCCACGUCCUAAAAAGUUGCAGUUCUUUGCUUAUGCUAUAAAUUAUAAAUAAGGACAAAAGUAGUCAGUAAAGGAGGUGGGAGUCUUUGUUGCAUUUGACAUUUUCAGGUUAAAUCCUGCUAAUCUGGACUUCAUCUUUCAUCUCUGCAGAAGCAAUAAAAUAAGUCAAAUACUAGAUAUGGUUUGUCUGAAAUGGUUAUAGAAUAUCUGCUGUAGUUUCUGCUUUCACCUUUUAAAUUGGAUUCAAGCCGUUUAGAAUGAUUGCUACUGCUAUAUAUUUGGUACAUGUACACCAAACACUCUUUCCUGUAUCAAACUGAAACUGAUAAUCAUAUUAUCGGUUUUGGCUUGUGCCAAAAUUUGACCAACAAUUUUGGAGAAAUGGGCCAGUUGAUUA